AGGCAGCAGUGGGGAAUAUUGCACAAUGGGGGAAACCCUGAUGCAGCCAUGCCGCGUGUGUGAAGAAGGCCUUCGGGUUGUAAAGCACUUUCAGUAGGGAGGAAGGUAGUGUAGUUAACACCUGCAUUAUUUGACGUUACCUACAGAAGAAGCACCGGCUAACUCCGUGCCAGCAGCCGCGGUAAUACGGAGGGUGCGAGCGUUAAUCGGAAUUACUGGGCGUAAAGCGCAUGCAGGCGGCCUGUUAAGUCAGAUGUGAAAGCCCGGGGCUUAACCUCGGAAUUGCAUUUGAAACUGGCAGGCUAGAGUCUUGUAGAGGGGGGUAGGAAUUUCAGGUGUAGCGGUGAAAUAGCGUAGAGAUCUGAAGGAAUACCAGUGGCGAAGGCGGCCCCCUGGACAAAGACUGACGCUCAGAUGCGAAAGCGUGGGGAGCAAACAGGAUUAGAUACCCUGGUAG
RNAcentral lists this ribosomal RNA (457 nucleotides) under uncultured bacterium. Its description in RNAcentral is "bacterial SSU rRNA". It matches the Rfam family "Bacterial small subunit ribosomal RNA", at positions 346 to 793 of the family's 1533-position model. The record is from RNAcentral.